Molecule: ribosomal RNA, 467 nt
Filed under: uncultured bacterium
Lineage: Bacteria
Description: bacterial SSU rRNA
Rfam family: Bacterial small subunit ribosomal RNA
Source: RNAcentral
AUACCAGACUCCUACGGGAGGCAGCAGUGAGGAAUAUUGGUCAAUGGCCGAGAGGCUGAACCAGCCAAGUCGCGUGAGGGAUGACGGCCCUACGGGUUGUAAACCUCUUUUGUCGGGGAGCAAAGAGAGUCACGUGUGGCUCAUUGAGAGUACCCGAAGAAAAAGCAUCGGCUAACUCCGUGCCAGCAGCCGCGGUAAUACGGAGGAUGCGAGCGUUAUCCGGAUUUAUUGGGUUUAAAGGGUGCGCAGGGGGAAGAUCAAGUCAGGGGUAAAAUUGAGGGGCUCAACCUCUGCGAGCCGUUGAAACUGGUUUUCUUGAGUGAGCGAGAAGUAUGCGGAAUGCGUGGUGUAGCGGUGAAAUGCAUAGAUAUCACGCAGAACUCCGAUUGCGAAGGCAGCAUACCGGCGCUCAACUGACGCUCAUGCACGAAAGUGUGGGUAUCGAACAGGAUUAGAUACCCGGGUAC